This is a regulatory RNA element of Lachnospiraceae bacterium 9_1_43BFAA, 106 nucleotides long. It matches the Rfam family "TPP riboswitch aptamer (THI element)". Rfam says of the family: Vitamin B(1) in its active form thiamin pyrophosphate (TPP) is an essential coenzyme that is synthesised by coupling of pyrimidine and thiazole moieties in bacteria. The previously detected thiamin-regulatory element, thi box was extended, resulting in a new, highly conserved RNA secondary structure, the THI element, which is widely distributed in eubacteria and also occurs in some archaea. The record is from Rfam. Lineage: Bacteria; Bacillati; Bacillota; Clostridia; Lachnospirales; Lachnospiraceae.
AGUAAAUAGCCGGGGAGCUUGUAGACAGGCUGAGAGGAAGGUGUGAACUUCGACCCUGAUACCUGAUUUGGAUAAUGCCAACGUAGGAAAGAAUUGAUUUUAAGAA